Molecule: long non-coding RNA, 918 nt
Organism: Syzygium oleosum
Lineage: Eukaryota; Viridiplantae; Streptophyta; Magnoliopsida; Myrtales; Myrtaceae
Exons: 3
Source: RefSeq, a predicted model, not a curated record
CGCCUUUUAGAGAAAAAGGUUUUGACUUUAGCUUGUGCUGCAAUUUUGGAGAAGUGGGAUGAGGUAUGUGGGAAAUGGGUAACUGCUGUUAGGUGAUUUUUCUAUGAAACUGUGGUCAAUUUGAUUGGGGAAGUGGCUGUGGUGGGUUGAUAAGAAAGGGGCUAAGUGUGCUUUAGGUUAUUGUUGGUUCUUUUUAUUCAUGAUCUGAAAGGAAAUUCUUUAUUUUUUGCUUUGAUAUCUUAAUGGGUAUUUCAAGUGUGGUUUUGGUUUUGAGGAAGUAACUUAAACAUAUCGAGAACUUGUAGUAGUAGAUUGAACCUAAGCUAUUCUACAUUGUUUUGGCAUGAUACUUAGUAUUCUUGUUUGAAAUAACAGGAGGAAGGAUGUUGUAUCUUUCUUGGGUAAGUUGGCCAAUGAAGGGAAGGAUGUUGUAUCUUUUUUGGGUAAGUUGGCCAAUGAAGAGAUGGUCAAUGCAAUGCAUGUUCUGCUUUUGUAUCUACGAAGUGCUCCAGAUGAUGAAAAACCUUUGGUUGCCAUACUUAUGCUGCACUUUGAUCUACUAGUAGAACCUCGGAAGUACAGCAUAUACAGAGAGAGGCUGUCGUGGCAAUUUCUGCAUAAGUUAUGCAAAUGAGAGGUUGCAACGACAUUUCAACUGGCAUCUGUUAAAACUGGAGCAGGAAGUGAGCAUCACACAUGGACCGUAUCUUUAGUAGUUUUGUUUAGUAUUUAUAUGCUGGGGAUUGUCGCUAAAAGCAUGAUAUUCUUUUUUGAUUCAUUUUUGUCGUCAUUAUUUAUUAUGCAAGAUUAUUUAUUCUCUCAUUAUGUGUACUAUAAAAAAAAAUAUUUAUGUCAUUCUUGUGGAAAACGUUGAUAAAUGUAUUUCAUUUUCAUAUUAUUAUAAUAUUUUGACAUUAA